AGGUAGUUACAAAAAAGGUUUGUAGAUUUUUGAAAGUAGGAGCUCUUAACACUAUUACUAAUGAUUGAAGUUCUCCAUAGGAUACCACAGUCACCAAAAAGAUGUAAGA
Molecule: small nucleolar RNA, 109 nt
Organism: Bison bison bison
Lineage: Eukaryota; Metazoa; Chordata; Mammalia; Artiodactyla; Bovidae
Source: Ensembl